Molecule: long non-coding RNA, 2103 nt
Filed under: Trifolium pratense (red clover)
Lineage: Eukaryota; Viridiplantae; Streptophyta; Magnoliopsida; Fabales; Fabaceae
Description: long non-coding RNA (TPRA_LNC013201)
Source: RNAcentral
AGUUUUUGGGCUUAUUUAUGAGAGAAGGAGGUAGAGAGAGAAGUUAAAAGAAAAGGUUUUUGGUGAAAGUUGAAGAGAAAGAAGAGAAGAGGAAUCCAAAUCUCGUUUUUCAACACAGCAGUCUCGCAAAAACUUCGAUUCCCGAUUCGUUAACCGUUAGAUUUCCUUCAAAUUUUGAGGGUAGGUUCACAACAUCUGAGGCCAACUUUUGACCGUUCGGAUCGUUGAAACAAGGUCUGAGGAGGAAGAAAUCGAGUUCGGAUUGCACCAUAUGUUUUGGGGAGAAAAAGAGGGAGAGAGGCAAGAACAAGGUGGAGCUUCAAGAACCAUUGCCAUCCAUUUUCUUUACAACCAAAGGUAUGGGAAGUUUAUGUAUUAAGUAGGAUUGGGUUAUAGAAUAAAGGAGUAGCCAAGCUUCUCUCUCCCAAGUAUUCUAUGAUUCUCCUUAGGAGAGGGUUUGUGUGAAAACCCUUGAGUAGAGAUUAUGUCUUUAUGAUUUCUCAUUAAAAAUUCAUGUUUGAGUUGUUGAUUGGUAGUGAUUUAUGCAAUAAAAAAAUUCAUGUUUGAAUUGUUGUUCAUGUUGAAUACUUUUGGAAAAAUGGAUUUUUAUGAUAAAAAUAUGAAUUUGAGAUUGUUUGUAGCUAAUUUGAGUGUGUUGGAGUUGUCUUAAAUGUAGAAUAAAUGUAAGUGUUAAACUCAAGCUUUUGUGACUCUUUGAAAGAUUCUCUCGUUGAUGUUAAUGGAAAGAAAUUGAUUUUCAUCCCAUGGUUUAGUACAAUCCAUUAAGUUUUGUGGCCUUGUUCUAGGACUGGUCUUACUUGAAUUUGGAAACCAUAAACUCCAUUGCAGGAACUAAUAUGUCUCUAGGUAUUGUACCCGUCUCUAGUGGAAGGAUCCCUGUUGGAUUAACCUUACCCUUGUCUAAUAUAAUUGAGUCUAAAUAAUUCUUUUCACAAUAAGCUCGAGGAGUAAUUAAUAGACUUAGUAGUAAUUAACUAGAUGAUUAGAGAGUGUUAAUCACUGUAGUUUAGUGGAGUUAGGAUUAGCUAAAUUAUUUUAUCUAAUCUUCGAAAAGAUGAUGGUGAUGAAUAUACGAAUGAAACUAAAUUGAUGUAUUUAAUUGAUAAACUUUAUUUGUGAGUUUAUUGAUGAAUUUUAUUGGUGUAUGAAUUCUUUUGGUGUAUUAGUGAUGUGUUCGUGCUUAUGCACAAUGACGAGGUGUGAUUGUUCAUUAAUAUAACUAUGAUGUUCAAUUUAUUGAUGAUGAUAAAUGAUGAUUUAUCAUGAGUAGAUGUAUUCUAAAGACGAUGAUUUAGAAUAUUUGGAUUAUGUUAUCCAUAUUAUGUUGAUAUUUUAGUUGAGAUAAAACCAUAUGUUUGGUAUAUGCACAUUCAUGCAUUCAUAAGUUGUGUCUAUUGAUGAGUAUUCUAGAGACGAUGAUCUAGUUUACUGUUGUUUUAGAGACGAUGAUCUAAAACAUUUGGAAUAAGUUUUCCAAAAUUAUGAUGAUGGGUACCACAUGCAUAUAGGUCGUGUCUAGGGAGGCAUUGCAUACUUAAUUUCAAUAGAUGAAAUGUUGUAUGAUUGAUUUAAUCAAUUGAUUACUGAUGUGUAAAUUGAGGUGUUGAUUAAAUGGUAUAAAUGUUGCAUGAAUUAGUAAUGUGAUAUAAUCAUGUUUAUACCUUGUUGUAUAUUUCCUAUUUUUUUUGCUUAUUACAUAAACUCACCCUGUUUUGUGUUAUGUGUUAUGUGCUGGACUCUUGGGAGUCCAGGUUUUCCAGGUUGUUGAGUCUCGUGUUCAAGUUCUUGAUGAAGCUCCGCUCUGAUUGUGACACGGGGGAAGAGUUCAUAGAGUCAUUUACUCUGUCAUUUUAUUUUUAAUUUAAAAUGUUUCUUUUUAGAAAAGAAAAAUAUUUUUAAUAGUGAUACUUAUGCUAAUUUAUUUUCACUAGCCAUGUAUGAAGAAAAAUGUAAUACCUUAGACCAAUAUUUUUAUAAGUUAUUUUGACUUCAAGCCUAUUUAUUAUUUAUAACCGCUGCAUAAAUUUGAAAAGUAUUCUUGAAUUAGAGUAACUUUUGAAUAUUGGGUUUAGGGUGUUACAA